GACGAACGCUGGCGGUGUGCUUAACACAUGCAAGUCGAACGGUAAGGCCCUUUCGGGGGUACACGAGUGGCGAACGGGUGCGUAACACGUGAGUAACCUGCCCUCAUCUCUGGGAUAACAGUCGGAAACGGUUGCUAAUACUGGAUAUGAGCUUGCAAGGCAUCUUGUGGGUUGGAAAAAUUUUUUUGGUUGGGGAUGGACUCGCGGCCUAUCAGCUUGUUGGUGAGGUAGUGGCUCACCAAGGCUUCGACGGGUAGCCGGCCUGAGAGGGCGACCGGCCACAUUGGGACUGAGAUACGGCCCAAACUCCUACGGGAGGCAGCAGUGGGGAAUAUUGCACAAUGGACGGAAGUCUGAUGCAGCAACGCCGCGUGCGGGAUGACGGCCUUCGGGUUGUAAACCGCUUUCAAUUGUGACGAAGCUUUUUGCGACGGUAGCAGUAGAAGAAGCACCGGCUAACUACGUG
This 466-nucleotide ribosomal RNA is filed under the name uncultured bacterium. Its description in RNAcentral is "partial 16S ribosomal RNA". It matches the Rfam family "Bacterial small subunit ribosomal RNA", at positions 28 to 507 of the family's 1533-position model. The record is from RNAcentral.